RNAcentral lists this ribosomal RNA (308 nucleotides) under uncultured Corynebacterium CB4. RNAcentral's name for it is "bacterial SSU rRNA". It matches the Rfam family "Bacterial small subunit ribosomal RNA", at positions 32 to 340 of the family's 1533-position model. Lineage: Bacteria; Bacillati; Actinomycetota; Actinomycetes; Mycobacteriales; Corynebacteriaceae. The record is from RNAcentral.
AACGCUGGCGGCGUGCUUAACACAUGCAAGUCGAACGGAAAGGCCAGUGCUUGCACUGGUACUCGAGUGGCGAACGGGUGAGUAACACGUGGGUGAUCUGCCCCGCACUUCGGGAUAAGCCUGGGAAACUGGGUCUAAUACCGGAUAGGACCACUUCUUGGAGGUUGUGGUGGAAAGUUUUUUCGGUGUGGGAUGAGCUCGCGGCCUAUCAGCUUGUUGGUGGGGUAAUGGCCUACCAAGGCGUCGACGGGUAGCCGGCCUGAGAGGGUGUACGGCCACAUUGGGACUGAGAUACGGCCCAGACUCCU